Molecule: small RNA, 86 nt
Filed under: Xenorhabdus budapestensis
Lineage: Bacteria; Pseudomonadati; Pseudomonadota; Gammaproteobacteria; Enterobacterales; Morganellaceae
Description: STnc400
Source: RNAcentral
AAAGGAUGCGGCAGAUGCAAAUCGGCCGAUCGUGUGAGCAGGAUCGGCCGAUUUGCAUCUGGCGCAACCCUAAAUCUAAACAAUAA